This is a long non-coding RNA of Alosa sapidissima (American shad), 397 nucleotides long. RefSeq lists it as uncharacterized. The transcript has 3 exons. NCBI's taxonomy places the organism in Eukaryota, Metazoa, Chordata, Actinopteri, Clupeiformes, Clupeidae. The record is from RefSeq and is a predicted model, not a curated record.
AUUCAGUACAAAGGGCAAGAGCGAGAGUGAGGGCUAGAAGAAUAGAAACAGAGACGCAUUUACAGAGUCUCUUAGUCUGACGCCUAUCACAGGACAGGAUGGAGAUGAACAUGGUCGCUGCUCUCUGCUGUGUUGCUGUGUACUUUGCCACCAUCUGUGCAUCCACUCCACCCAUUCUGAAUUGUCGCUGUACAAAAGUGACAGAGACACUGAGAAAGAUUAAGCAUCUCCAGAAUUUACAUAAUUACACAGAGGAACCUCCAUUGUGUUUCCCCAAGGCUAUAAGCUUUCAUACUGAGAAGGGAAAAAUCAUAUGUUCAGAUCCAGGGUCAUUUUGGACUCAGAAAGCCAUGAAAUACCUUGAUGGGAUAGGAAUAAAAACAACUACACCCUCAAU